This 442-nucleotide ribosomal RNA is filed under the name Escherichia coli. Its description in RNAcentral is "bacterial SSU rRNA". It matches the Rfam family "Bacterial small subunit ribosomal RNA", at positions 353 to 787 of the family's 1533-position model. Lineage: Bacteria; Pseudomonadati; Pseudomonadota; Gammaproteobacteria; Enterobacterales; Enterobacteriaceae. The record is from RNAcentral.
AGUGGGGAAUAUUGCACAAUGGGCGCAAGCCUGAUGCAGCCAUGCCGCGUGUAUGAAGAAGGCCUUCGGGUUGUAAAGUACUUUCAGCGGGGAGGAAGGGAGUAAAGUUAAUACCUUUGCUCAUUGACGUUACCCGCAGAAGAAGCACCGGCUAACUCCGUGCCAGCAGCCGCGGUAAUACGGAGGGUGCAAGCGUUAAUCGGAAUUACUGGGCGUAAAGCGCACGCAGGCGGUUUGUUAAGUCAGAUGUGAAAUCCCCGGGCUCAACCUGGGAACUGCAUCUGAUACUGGCAAGCUUGAGUCUCGUAGAGGGGGGUAGAAUUCCAGGUGUAGCGGUGAAAUGCGUAGAGAUCUGGAGGAAUACCGGUGGCGAAGGCGGCCCCCUGGACGAAGACUGACGCUCAGGUGCGAAAGCGUGGGGAGCAAACAGGAUUAGAUACCC